Molecule: long non-coding RNA, 2151 nt
Organism: Saccostrea cuccullata (small rock oyster)
Lineage: Eukaryota; Metazoa; Mollusca; Bivalvia; Ostreida; Ostreidae
Exons: 3
Source: RefSeq, a predicted model, not a curated record
CUGUUCAACAUUUGAUGAUUAAAUUUUAUCAUUUCCGCGUGUUCGUCAGUUUUAUGAAUAAUAAUUAUUCACAAAAAUAGCAUUUUUUGUAUAUAAUUACAACAAGUUACAUUACUAACUAGCCUUAUUUGUUAAAGACACAGCAAUCAUCAAGUUGUUAGAAAAGUAAGGUGUUCCGUUGGGGUACAAAUCAAAGUGAAAAAUGAGUAUAUAUUGUGUGGAAAAAUCAAUAACAUUGAGACAAACAGUUGUCUAAUUUAUGGAGCAAAAUGAAACACAAUGGUUCAGAAAUUAUUUAUAUUAAUGUAUUUUUUCUGUGUUUUUAGGUUUAAAAUGUUUUUUUAUAGUACAAAUUUAAAUAAGACAUUAUACACUGUUAUACAACGUGGUGUAUAAAAUAAAAUAUAUUUAUUAAAAAACUUCAUUCAUUUUUUUAUAAAUCAAUAAAUGAAAUACAGAUAAGAUUGAAUGUUUAAUCUUAUAACCAGUUUUUGUUAAUUUAAAAACAAUUGUCUAAGAACUGUUCAUGUUUAAUUCUUAGGAGCAAACAGCCCUACAGUACUUAAUUUACCCAGGAGUAGACUACUUGUAGUUGAAGGUAGACAGAAGGCCAGACUUAGGCAGGAUGAUUGAACAAAAUCUGCUUGCAGAUGGACUACUGAGGCAAAAAAAAUUGGACUCUCAGGAGGUGAACAGAUGUUCAGCAAGAAAUUCGCACAUCAAAUGCUGUGAAUUACACUGAUAUCCCCCCCCCCAAAAAAAAGAACAGAGAGACCAAUCAUUAGCAGCUUGAGACUUGGUGCACAUAACCUUGCCACAGAAAAGGGGAUUUGCCUAUAAACACUCCCUAAAUGAAAGAUUUUGUAAAUUAUUUGUUACACAGGAGAGAUUUAAGAUGUAUUUCGUUUUUAUUUAGCUACCAAAAAUACAAUAAUUAUAAGUUAACUUUUGAAAGGAAGUUGAUGUAUUUUUUUCUUGAAAGGAAAAGUAUCAAAUUUGUCUCAUAUACUUUUGAUAGUCAAUGUACAGAAAUACUGAAAAUAACACUUAUUUAUUAAGAAAUACCAUAUAUUUAGAAAUCAUUGUAAUACAUAUUUGUUGUGUAUUAUUGUGUAAAUUAUAUUAUUGUGUGAUUUAUGUAUAGCCUCAAAAUCUAGAUGCAGUGUAUUGUAUAAAAUUGUAUGAACAAUUGGUGAUUCUUAUACUAAUAUGUUGCACCCUUGACAAUUAUUGUAAUUGUGUUGGCGCUGAUAAAUAUUUAUAUACAUGUCAUAUAUUAGUUCAUGUACAAAACAUAUAAAGAUUCUAUAAUAUAACAUAAAGUUUUGGCCUUUAACAUGUUUAACUCAGCAAAAAUAUACAUGUAUUUCGUUCGCCAACCUUUACUUUUUUGUAAAUAAUGAAACCAGUAUAUUUUAUAACAGAGGAAAUUCGAACUGAAUUUUUAAAAAGUUUUUUUGGAAACAUGGCAAUAAUUUCAACAAUUAUAUUCAAAAUAAUACAUUAUAUCACAUUUCAGAGAAAAUGUAUUAUCUAACCGCCUGUCCUGUCUCUUAAAUUAUUAGCCUAUAUGAGAUAUUGAAAGCAUAUUCUUUGUUCAAUAAUAAUUUUUAAAAUGAGGAAAUUCGAGCUAACCUGGCAAUUUAAUAAAUAUGAAUACCCCUUUAUUUUUUUGUUGUAAAUGAUUCAUUCAACAUCUAUCUUUCCUAUGGUUGUAAAAAUAUUUUUUUCUGAAUAUUUGAUUUAAGUAAAAAAAUUAAAUGAAACAGAAUGAUUGUCAAAGACUUAAUUAUCACUUUAUAAAGAGUACAGAGGAAAUUCGGAAUAAAUAUUUUGUGUCAUUUGUGAUCAAAAGUUUGUUAUUUAUUUUACUUUAGUACAUUGCUUUAACAUAAAACUUAAGACUUAAAUUGUUUUUUUCAUAUCUAAACAUCUCCAUUUUUCCAAAACAUCAAUUUUAAAAUACCACAUUGGAUUUUCUCAAUUCCACAGGAGGAAAAAAUGUAUUUUUAGCAUCAACUUUUCAAAUGACCUUCAAGCAAAAUCAAGGAUGAUGACCCCACAUCUUUUUCUUGUCAUUUAAUUGUGCAUAUCUUGAAAUGUUUCCAUGCAUAACUGCAUUAUUUUCUGAAUAUAUAAAAUAGGAAAAGA